Molecule: long non-coding RNA, 883 nt
Organism: Quercus lobata
Lineage: Eukaryota; Viridiplantae; Streptophyta; Magnoliopsida; Fagales; Fagaceae
Exons: 3
Source: RefSeq, a predicted model, not a curated record
ACUAGGGUUGUGAGAGAGAGAGAGAGAGAGAGUGAGUGAAAAGUCUCUCCAAGCCUCCAAAGGCAGACAGAGAGAAAAAAAAAAAGAAAAAAAAAAAGAGAGCACCCAAGUGUGUGUCAAAAUAUUUUGUUUGCUGAGUUUCUGAGGCUGAGAUCUCUCUCUCUCUCCUGGGCUCGCAAAACUCGAAGAGAAAGCAGUGGAAAAAUAAAGAGCUUGGUUGGAUGAGUAUGGAGUGGUGGGAUAAGGUGAAGAUUCCCAUUCGACGUGUUUGGAUCGGCGUUGCCACGCGUCUUGGGAUUCGCAAAAGCGGACUACUGAAGCUGAGACAUGAUGUGAGCACUUGUGAAUAUGAGGAUGUGCGUGUGAUGUGGGAGAUGCUGAAAAGAAGCGAAACGGAGCAAGUCGUCCCUGAAAAGAGCAAGAAGAGAUCCUUUUGGAAUAUCUUUGAUUGGGCUAGGUGCACUCCAUGUCUCUGCCGUGGUCUUUGAUCAUUCAUAUAUGAAAUCUUCUCAGCUCACAAACUCUACUUGCUAGGUCUGCAAAGUAUGGAAAUCGAUUUUGUCCCAUAAAAAAAUAAGAAGAUGACAGAGCGCUUCAUAUGUGACAUGGUUUCUUCUCCUCUUAAUAGGUCAUCUAUCUGUGGAUAUGUACUUACCAUUUCGACAUGAUCCAUCUCUUCACUCCAUGUUUAUUCCCUGCGAAAUAAACUAUUAUGUGUUUAUAACACAUAAUAUGUGUUUUAUGUUUCAUACAUUAGUAUGCACUGUUAUAUAUUGUGCCUGCAUGCUUAUGAAUAGUGCCGUCUUCUUUUUCUGCUUUGAACAUCUCUUUUUGUUUCUUGUUUGUGGAUGAUAGUGCACAUUCAGAAGAAUUUUAGAGUGAA